Molecule: ribosomal RNA, 253 nt
Filed under: uncultured bacterium
Lineage: Bacteria
Description: partial 16S ribosomal RNA
Rfam family: Bacterial small subunit ribosomal RNA
Source: RNAcentral
UACAGAGGGUGCGAGCGUUAAUCGGAGUUACUGGGCGUAAAGGGCGCGUAGGCGGUCAUUUAAGAUUGAUGUGAAAUCCCUGGGCUUAACCUAGGAACUGCAUUGAUUACUGGAUGGCUGGAGUACUGUAGAGGGUAGUGGAAUUUCCGGUGUAGCGGUGAAAUGCGUAGAGAUGUGGAGGAAUACCGAUGGCGAAGGCAGCCCCCUGGGCCAAUACUGACGCUCAUGCACGAAAGCGUGGGGAGCAAACAGG